CAUUCAAGGUGAUUAACUUCUGGAAUGAAUGAAACAAAUAUUUAUUUUUUUAUUUAUUUUUAUUUAUAAGCUCUUGAAGACUAAUUUUUAAACCUCUCAAUAUUUCUUACUAUAUGUUUCUUGGGUUAUUAGAUCACGAGUUGAUAAAUUGAAACAGUAGAGAGUAAAUUAGGUGAGUAUUAUGGAAUACGGUCAUAAACUACUUACCAAACAAAUCAGAGUUGUGCAGCGGAAGCAUGUUGGUGGAAAGGAGAUUCUGAUAUGCUGCAAUGAUUAUAGUUAAAGCAGGGUGUCAAAUAAAACUAGAAGUGUGUGAAGUGCUACUCCCAAAACCUCCAUACAUCAUUGUUCAAGACAUAAUUUAAGUUCGGUACCUUUAAUUUUAUGUUCAAUUCCUUGCGUGUUUUGUUUGAAAGUAAUGUUGCAACCUUAUAUAAGUUCUUGUUAGGGGUGGUCUUACAGAUGUCACAAGAGUGAGAACCUUGAGUAUACUGUUUUAAUGAUUGUAAGAUGUGAAAGUAUGGUUCCAAAUGCCUAAAGUAAUAGACCAUUGAACUAAAAGAGAUGUGAUUCUAAGGUUUAUUGUUGAAUUUUAGUUAGUUACAGCAAUAAUGCUAAUGGAAUUGUGCCAACAGUAGACCAUUUUACAUAUAAGCAACAGUAGAAACUUUAAACCAUCCGUAGAUCAUUAUGUUAAGAUUUAUUUAAACGAGAUCCUUUCUUUACAUGGUAUGCCAAUCUCUACUAUAUCUAACAACAUAGCUUGCUCAGUUGCCUGCUCCGUUUUAGAUGUCUAUCAGAAAUAGGAACCCAUUUGAAUCUUAGUGAAAUCACUAUCCUGAAAUUGAUGGCUAAUCUGUCAAAACUUUACAAAACAUAGAGGAUAUGUUCUGUUCUUGCGUUUUUAAUAUUGGAGGAAGAUGACCAAUGUUUUUCUAUGAUAGAAUUGUCAUAUAAGUAGUUACCAAUCUGGUAUUAAAGUAACUUUUGCGGCAUUGUGUAUAGAUGAUGUAUGUUUUCGGUAGGAUGGUUUGAAGUUGGCUAGUCUAAACUAGUGCGCCUAGAGUUGAUCCAAGAUAUCAUUGAAAAGGUUAAGAUCAUCUAAGAGUGUUUAAUGACAACUCGAAGUAGGAAAAAUUUUACUAUAAUCAGAGGUGUCACCCUUAGGGUUCAAUGUGGGAGAGCAUGUAUUCCUACAAGUUUCGCCAAUGUAGCGUGUAUUGUGGUUUGACAAAAAUGGGAAAAUUUGUUCAAAGUUCAUUGGAAUGUUAGAGUUUUGGUAGUGAUUCGAAACUUCUAGCUUAUCACUUUGGCCCUUCGACCAUAUCUUUUGACAGUUCGUACGGUCUUUUAUAUUUCUAUGCUCCGGAAAUACCUUUAUAAUCCUUUCAUGUGAUUAGUCAUGAUUAGAUGAGAACUUGUCAUACACCGAACACCCGAUAACAUUAGUAGAUAAGGAAGUUACACAAUUACGUUCAAAGGAUAUUGCUUCAGUGAAGGUCCUUUGGAAAGGAUCGUCGGCUGAAGAAUCAACUUGGGAGUCGGAAGAGAUCAUGCGAGCAGAGUAUCCACACUUAUUUGAAAAUCAAGGUUAGUAGUAUAAAUUCGAGGACGAAUUUCUUUAAGGAGGGAAGACUGAAACGCACCGUUUAAUAUUUAUUUAAAAAAAAACAUUAUAAAAUAAAAUGAAAAUCCCCUUUAAAAAAAAUAAUAGUAAUAAAUAAAUAAAAAAAUAGAUUAACACGAACCCACCGCCAUUGUUUUGUCUUACGUUUCCAUUUCUUCUUUCACUUUCCAUUUCUAAGCUUCAGUUUCAUCAACACCCCACUUUCAAUUUACUUCUUUCUUUCCUAUUUUCUUUUAAAUCAUCAAUUUUCUUCCACAAACAAAACACCCACAAGAAAAACUAUACAUCUAAGCUAAGCUAUUCAUAAUACAAGUGAGAUUUAGUGUUUUGGGGUUAGGGUUUGUGCUUUGAAGAAGAAGAAGAAGAAGAAUACCCAUUUUGUGAAAGUUGCUCAUUAAGAUUCUUUGAGAUAUUACGCUGGAAUCUUCACAUGCUUCUCUGGGAGUUGUUGGAGAGCAAAAUUAGUCGGUCUUCAUAGUUAUUCAAAGUCAACUGAAUAGAAAGCUUCUAGCAGAGUUAAAGAUCUGUCAAUGUCACUCUUUUGGUAGGCCUUCUUGAUGAAAAACUAUUUUGUAUAUGUAUAUUUGGAGUUGAUCGAGUAUCUGCAGCUAUUUUGAGUCUAGGAAUAUCUUGUUUUGAAAUGUAUAAAUUUAAACAUCUCAAAAGUCUAGCUGAUGAUGUAUCAUGUAAAACAGGAUUUAUUCUGAUUUGGAAACAUUGAAAAUACAGAUGAGACUUUGUCGAAAUUUCAGUAAAAUUGUUCUAAAGUAAAUAGUCAUUUGGAAAUAAUAUAUUUAUUGUUUGUUAAAUUCGGUCAUUAGGCUUGCCGGACUAGUAUUAGUCCGUGCGCCGGUCACGAUUGGAGUUGGGUCGUGACAAAGUUGGUAUCAGAGCUCGGUUGUAGGUCCAAAUAGCUGCAGACAUAGAGUGAUAAUAGAUUUUUGCUAGUAAAUUGUGAACCGCGGCACCAUUUACUUGCAAGAAGCUAUUAGUACUCUAUGGUAGUCUCUGUCUCACUUUUUUGUCGUCUUGUCUAAUAUUCGGUAAAUUUCCUUUCGUUUGGUGAGUAUGCCACCCAACACUAGGAUCACCACUAGAAGCGAAGUUUGUUCCUUAUGCAUUUACUUUCCAACCUUAAGACCCUUGUCAAAGAGGUCGUGAUUCAGUCGUACUCGUUGUCGACGAACGUGGCUUGGUUGCGGUAGUAGUUAGUGUUGAGGUUCCUAGAGAGAUUGAUGUUGAUAUAGAGAAAUUCGUGAUACUUAAACCCUUACCUUUUCUACGUCGAGUGUGCGUGAGGAUCCACUUAAAUUCAUUGACUAUCUAAAGAGGUUAUAAAAAGCGUUAGGAUGCUCAGAUAUAAGGGCAGUGAAGUUGACAUCAUUUAAGUUGGAGGAUUUGGUAUACGACUUGUUUGAUACACUUACCUGUACAAAUAGGAUCAUCGACGUUGGCAUGGAGUGAGAUCUCUUGAUUGUUUAUGACUCGUUUUCUUCUAGAAAGUUUUGGAGAUGGUUUAAAUUAUGACUAUGAGGGAUUUAAACAAACUGAGGUUAUGUCAAUUUCAAAGAACAAAACUCGUUUUGCAGAACUUUCAAGACACAACAAAUAUUAGUAUCACAAGAGAGAUAGUUCUAGUAGACAAAUUUUUUUACACAGUGUAGAGUCGUAGAUUAGAUUAUGGGGCAUAUAAAUAAUUCACUUUUCCUUAGAAUAAUUUUGACUCUAAAGGUUGAUUUCAAUCUGAAAUUUUUUUUUUUCAAAGAGGGUAAAAUGUACUUUCAAUGUGGUGGAGUAUGCAAUAACAGGAGGGGUCGUCCUUGGCAGCUAUGACACAAUUAUUAUCUAGUCAUGAAUUAACACUAGUAGCUUUAGUAUAGAUUAUGACAGGAUGUUGUGUAUGAAUUGGAUGUUCUUCCAUCAUAUCACCUUAGUCUAUUAUAACAAGGGAGUGAGAAUUGAGAUAUUCGGUAAUCGCUUUUAUCCUUUGCGAGUAGAGCGUGAUUUUGUACCAUAUAAUUUAACCUCUUGUUUAGGAUCUAACAAGUUAUUAAAAAGGGAGUUAUUAUGGAUAAUUAUUCUUGAUUAUGGAAAUACAAGUGAGUGAAGAAAAAACAUUAAAUAGUUCCAAAAACGUGAGUUUCCUAAUGUUUUUCCUGAAGAAUUUCUUAGAUUGCCUCAUGAUAAGAAUAUUAAGAUCUCUAUAAACUUGAUUCCUAACACUCAACGACAUCCAUACCUCUUAAUCAAAUAGUUAGCAUAACUUUAAGUGUUAAGGGAGAAGCUAUAUGAUUUUCUCAAUAAGAUAUUUAUUAGUCCAACUUCUUUUCCUUGGGAAGCUGUGGUAUUGUUUAUAGGGAAGAAAGAUGAAUCGUACCCAUGUGAUAUUGUGUGGUAGAGAAUCGAAUAGUAGGGUAGUAACGAGUGAAUAUUGUUUACUUUGAAUUGACGAGUUGUUUGAUAACUUCAAGAAGCUAAGUGUUUUGUCUAGGAUUGAUUUGCGGUCUAGGCAUCACCAAUUAAAGGUUGAGAGGGGUCUUAUUUCAAUGAAAACUCUUUGCACAUACUUGAGCAUUAUAUAAUUCUGGUUAUGUCUUUUGAGUUUACUAAUGCUCUAAGAUCUUUAUGGAUAUUUGAUAGAGUUAGGAUAAUGGUCAUAAACCUGGGAGUUUUCAAAUCAAGAUUGUACUGAAGACCUACUAGGAUUGAAAAAUUUCUUUUCAAGUCUCAAAAUCCUACCUUUUGUUAUGAGUCACCAAAAUAAAAUAAAAUAAAAAUUACUUAUAUGUGAAAUUCCUAAGCAAUAGAAACAGGCGGAAAACCACCUAUUAACUCUACAUUGGUUAGUAGCUUCUAGGCUAUUGACAUAUUUAUCAGUAAAAAAUUUAGGCCUUGAUAACGAUAUUAUUAAACUUGAAAUUUAAUAUUCCUUGAUUUAGGAAUACAUUUGGAUUGAGUAUGUCUAGACUUGGUUGGUAGACUAUUAAGAUGUAAAUUAAAUAUGAAGUAGGUGGUUUAUAUAACAUAAAUACUAGUUAUAAUAGAAUGAUGCCCUGUGAUAGUCAUUCAAGGUGAUUAACUUCUGGAAUGAAUGAAACAAAUAUUUAUUUUUUUAUUUAUUUUUAUUUAUAAGCUCUUGAAGACUAAUUUUUAAACCUCUCAAUAUUUCUUACUAUAUGUUUCUUGGGUUAUUAGAUCACGAGUUGAUAAAUUGAAACAGUAGAGAGUAAAUUAGGUGAGUAUUAUGGAAUACGGUCAUAAACUACUUACCAAACAAAUCAGAGUUGUGCAGCGGAAGCAUGUUGGUGGAAAGGAGAUUCUGAUAUGCUGCAAUGAUUAUAGUUAAAGCAGGGUGUCAAAUAAAACUAGAAGUGUGUGAAGUGCUACUCCCAAAACCUCCAUACAUCAUUGUUCAAGACAUAAUUUAAGUUCGGUACCUUUAAUUUUAUGUUCAAUUCCUUGCGUGUUUUGUUUGAAAGUAAUGUUGCAACCUUAUAUAAGUUCUUGUUAGGGGUGGUCUUACAGAUGUCACAAGAGUGAGAACCUUGAGUAUACUGUUUUAAUGAUUGUAAGAUGUGAAAGUAUGGUUCCAAAUGCCUAAAGUAAUAGACCAUUGAACUAAAAGAGAUGUGAUUCUAAGGUUUAUUGUUGAAUUUUAGUUAGUUACAGCAAUAAUGCUAAUGGAAUUGUGCCAACAGUAGACCAUUUUACAUAUAAGCAACAGUAGAAACUUUAAACCAUCCGUAGAUCAUUAUGUUAAGAUUUAUUUAAACGAGAUCCUUUCUUUACAUGGUAUGCCAAUCUCUACUAUAUCUAACAACAUAGCUUGCUCAGUUGCCUGCUCCGUUUUAGAUGUCUAUCAGAAAUAGGAACCCAUUUGAAUCUUAGUGAAAUCACUAUCCUGAAAUUGAUGGCUAAUCUGUCAAAACUUUACAAAACAUAGAGGAUAUGUUCUGUUCUUGCGUUUUUAAUAUUGGAGGAAGAUGACCAAUGUUUUUCUAUGAUAGAAUUGUCAUAUAAGUAGUUACCAAUCUGGUAUUAAAGUAACUUUUGCGGCAUUGUGUAUAGAUGAUGUAUGUUUUCGGUAGGAUGGUUUGAAGUUGGCUAGUCUAAACUAGUGCGCCUAGAGUUGAUCCAAGAUAUCAUUGAAAAGGUUAAGAUCAUCUAAGAGUGUUUAAUGACAACUCGAAGUAGGAAAAAUUUUACUAUAAUCAGAGGUGUCACCCUUAGGGUUCAAUGUGGGAGAGCAUGUAUUCCUACAAGUUUCGCCAAUGUAGCGUGUAUUGUGGUUUGACAAAAAUGGGAAAAUUUGUUCAAAGUUCAUUGGAAUGUUAGAGUUUUGGUAGUGAUUCGAAACUUCUAGCUUAUCACUUUGGCCCUUCGACCAUAUCUUUUGACAGUUCGUACGGUCUUUUAUAUUUCUAUGCUCCGGAAAUACCUUUAUAAUCCUUUCAUGUGAUUAGUCAUGAUUAGAUGAGAACUUGUCAUACACCGAACACCCGAUAACAUUAGUAGAUAAGGAAGUUACACAAUUACGUUCAAAGGAUAUUGCUUCAGUGAAGGUCCUUUGGAAAGGAUCGUCGGCUGAAGAAUCAACUUGGGAGUCGGAAGAGAUCAUGCGAGCAGAGUAUCCACACUUAUUUGAAAAUCAAGGUUAGUAGUAUAAAUUCGAGGACGAAUUUCUUUAAGGAGGGAAGACUGAAACGCACCGUUUAAUAUUUAUUUAAAAAAAAACAUUAUAAAAUAAAAUGAAAAUCCCCUUUAAAAAAAAUAAUAGUAAUAAAUAAAUAAAAAAAUAGAUUAACACGAACCCACCGCCAUUGUUUUGUCUUACGUUUCCAUUUCUUCUUUCACUUUCCAUUUCUAAGCUUCAGUUUCAUCAACACCCCACUUUCAAUUUACUUCUUUCUUUCCUAUUUUCUUUUAAAUCAUCAAUUUUCUUCCACAAACAAAACACCCACAAGAAAAACUAUACAUCUAAGCUAAGCUAUUCAUAAUACAAGUGAGAUUUAGUGUUUUGGGGUUAGGGUUUGUGCUUUGAAGAAGAAGAAGAAGAAGAAUACCCAUUUUGUGAAAGUUGCUCAUUAAGAUUCUUUGAGAUAUUACGCUGGAAUCUUCACAUGCUUCUCUGGGAGUUGUUGGAGAGCAAAAUUAGUCGGUCUUCAUAGUUAUUCAAAGUCAACUGAAUAGAAAGCUUCUAGCAGAGUUAAAGAUCUGUCAAUGUCACUCUUUUGGUAGGCCUUCUUGAUGAAAAACUAUUUUGUAUAUGUAUAUUUGGAGUUGAUCGAGUAUCUGCAGCUAUUUUGAGUCUAGGAAUAUCUUGUUUUGAAAUGUAUAAAUUUAAACAUCUCAAAAGUCUAGCUGAUGAUGUAUCAUGUAAAACAGGAUUUAUUCUGAUUUGGAAACAUUGAAAAUACAGAUGAGACUUUGUCGAAAUUUCAGUAAAAUUGUUCUAAAGUAAAUAGUCAUUUGGAAAUAAUAUAUUUAUUGUUUGUUAAAUUCGGUCAUUAGGCUUGCCGGACUAGUAUUAGUCCGUGCGCCGGUCACGA
Trifolium pratense (red clover) is the source of this 7176-nucleotide long non-coding RNA. RefSeq lists it as uncharacterized. NCBI's taxonomy places the organism in Eukaryota, Viridiplantae, Streptophyta, Magnoliopsida, Fabales, Fabaceae. The transcript has 5 exons. The record is from RefSeq and is a predicted model, not a curated record.